This 498-nucleotide ribosomal RNA is filed under the name uncultured bacterium. RNAcentral's name for it is "bacterial SSU rRNA". It matches the Rfam family "Bacterial small subunit ribosomal RNA", at positions 29 to 521 of the family's 1533-position model. The record is from RNAcentral.
AUUGAACGCUGGCGGCGUGCCUAACACAUGCAAGUCGAGCGGUAACAGGUGUAGCAAUACAUGCUGACGAGCGGCGGACGGGUGAGCAAUAUUUGGGAAUCUGCCUAUUAGUGGGGGAUAACCCGGGGAAACUCGGGCUAAUACCGCAUACGCUCUACGGAGGAAAGCCGGGGACCGCAAGGCCUGGCGCUAGUAGAUGAGCCCAAAUCGGAUUAGCUAGUUGGUGAGGAACGGCUCACCAAGGCGACGAUCCGUAGCUGGUUUGAGAGAACGACCAGCCACACCGGAACUGAGACACGGUCCGGACUCCUACGGGAGGCAGCAGUGGGGAAUAUUGGACAAUGGGCGAAAGCCUGAUCCAGCGACGCCGCGUGGGUGAAGAAGGCCUGCGGGUUGUAAAGCCCUUUCGGUUGGGAAGAAAAGUAUUGGCCUAAUACGCUAGUACCUUGACGUAACCAACAAAGAAGCACCGGCUAACUCUGUGCCAGCAGCCGCAGU